This 253-nucleotide ribosomal RNA is filed under the name uncultured bacterium. Its description in RNAcentral is "partial 16S ribosomal RNA". It matches the Rfam family "Bacterial small subunit ribosomal RNA", at positions 524 to 776 of the family's 1533-position model. The record is from RNAcentral.
UACGGGGGGGGCAAGCGUUGUUCGGAAUUACUGGGCGUAAAGGGCUUGUAGGCGGCCAACUAAGUCCGACGUGAAAUCCCCAGGCUUAACCUGGGAACUGCGUCGGAUACUGGAUGGCUUGAAUUCGGGAGAGGGAUGUGGAAUUCCAGGUGUAGCGGUGAAAUGCGUAGAUAUCUGGAGGAACACCGGUGGCGAAGGCGGCAUCCUGGACCGACACUGACGCUGAUGCGCGAAAGCCAGGGGAGCAAACGGG